UAAGGUGGUUAUAGCAACGGGGCUCACCUCUUCCCAUUCCGAACAGAGCAGUUAAGCCCGUUAGCGCCGAUGGUACUACAUAUUGUGGAAGAGUAGGUCGCCGCCUUCU
RNAcentral lists this ribosomal RNA (109 nucleotides) under Psychroflexus gondwanensis. The record is from RNAcentral. Lineage: Bacteria; Pseudomonadati; Bacteroidota; Flavobacteriia; Flavobacteriales; Flavobacteriaceae.